AUCUAACAUCAAAUUAAUUGUGCUGUUUCUUGAAUUCCAUUUCCACUGGGAAAGUUUCCAUCCCAAGAGGAUGUUGCUAGAUUUAUUGACAUUUACAAAGCUUUCUGUCAUCUAUGGGAAGAAAGGUCUGACUUCUAUCAACCAUUUCUACUUGAGGUGAGAAGAUUAUUUGUUGGACCACUAAAACCCCCAAAGACCGUGGCUAUGAAUUAUAUAUAAUGACAUACCAAAUCUCAAUUUCAUUAAACAAAUUUGUAUUGAACCCCUACUAAGAAUCAAGUAUUGAGACUAUAAGUGGUGAACAAAGCAUACAUCCUUAUUCUUAUGAAAC
This 331-nucleotide long non-coding RNA is filed under the name Fukomys damarensis (Damara mole-rat). Its description in RNAcentral is "lncRNA (ENSFDAG00000022709.1)". The record is from RNAcentral. Lineage: Eukaryota; Metazoa; Chordata; Mammalia; Rodentia; Bathyergidae.